GGAACACAGCGGCAUAGUGGUGAGACCCCCGUAUUCGGUGCGGACGCCCAACGCUUUGCGAUACACUUUCGAAGAGUCGAGUUGUUUGGGAAUGCAGCUCAAAUUGGGUGGUAAAUUCCAUCUAAAGCUAAAUAUUGGCGAGAGACCGAUAGCGAACAAGUACCGUGAGGGAAAGAUGAAAAGCACUUUGGAAAGAGAGUUAACAGUACGUGAAAUUGUUGGAAGGGAAACGCUUGAAGUCAGACUUGCUUGCCGGAUUUAUUCGGUUUGCAGGCCAGCAUCAGUUUUCCGGGGUGGAAAAUGGCGGUUAGAAGGUAGCAGUUUCGGCUGUGUUAUAGCUUUCCGCUGGAUACAUUCUGGGGGACUGAGGAACGCAGCACGCUUUUAGCGAGG
This 393-nucleotide ribosomal RNA is filed under the name Rhodotorula sp. RNAcentral's name for it is "partial large subunit ribosomal RNA". It matches the Rfam family "Eukaryotic large subunit ribosomal RNA", at positions 192 to 591 of the family's 3401-position model. The record is from RNAcentral. Lineage: Eukaryota; Fungi; Basidiomycota; Microbotryomycetes; Sporidiobolales; Sporidiobolaceae.